Molecule: transfer RNA, 77 nt
Filed under: Candidatus Portnoybacteria bacterium CG_4_8_14_3_um_filter_44_15
Lineage: Bacteria; Candidatus Portnoyibacteriota
Also listed under: 2 other names
Description: tRNA-Val
Rfam family: tRNA
About the family: Transfer RNA (tRNA) molecules are approximately 80 nucleotides in length. Their secondary structure includes four short double-helical elements and three loops (D, anti-codon, and T loops). Further hydrogen bonds mediate the characteristic L-shaped molecular structure. tRNAs have two regions of fundamental functional importance: the anti-codon, which is responsible for specific mRNA codon recognition, and the 3' end, to which the tRNAs corresponding amino acid is attached (by aminoacyl-tRNA synthetases). tRNAs cope with the degeneracy of the genetic code in two manners: having more than one tRNA (with a specific anti-codon) for a particular amino acid; and 'wobble' base-pairing, i.e. permitting non-standard base-pairing at the 3rd anti-codon position.
Source: RNAcentral
GGGCGGUUGGCGCAGUUGGUUAGCGCGCAUCGUUGACAUCGAUGAGGUCAUUGGUUCGAAUCCAAUACCGCCCACCA